UUCGAGCGUCAUUACAACCCUCACGCCUAGCGUGGUAUUGGGCUCGCCCUGUAGGGCCUGCCUCAAAGUCAGUGGCGGCACCGUUUGACCCCUAAGCGUAGUAAUACUCGUCGCUUCUGGUGUCCGGCGGAAGCUGCCAGCAACCCCCCAAUUUUUUAAAGGUUGACCUCGAAUCAGGUAGGGAUACCCGCUGAACUUAA
This 200-nucleotide unclassified non-coding RNA is filed under the name soil metagenome. RNAcentral's name for it is "partial contains internal transcribed spacer 2 and large subunit ribosomal RNA". The record is from RNAcentral.